This 1813-nucleotide long non-coding RNA is filed under the name Marmota monax (woodchuck). Lineage: Eukaryota; Metazoa; Chordata; Mammalia; Rodentia; Sciuridae. The record is from RNAcentral.
UUUAUUUCCAAAACACCCAUGAACACCACGCACAUGGCCUUCUCCCGGGACACAUCACACCAACCGGAAAUCCUCCUCCGGAAAUCCCUCCUACAGCACUUCCCCAACCAAUGGGAACUCUCCGGGAAUCCCCGAGAGCUCCAAAGUAUCAGGCCAAGGCAGACAGCAGGGGUCUAAUAUCCAAUUGAAUACACAUCUUAACAUAACCAUUAUCAUCUCAAUGGCUUGCUGGUGUCACCUUUCAACCAAAAGUGCCAUGCGUCAUUCCUACUUGGCUAUGGCUCUCAGCAUCUCCCCCCUUCUGUUUAAUUAAGCACCAAGCAUGUUGCUUAGGGACCAUGCCUGGGAGGCUCUCCAAUACUACAUGUGGCCCUUACUCAUCAUCGGAUGAGCUGACCUCAAGUCGUCAGCCUCCUGUCUUAGGUUGGUACCACUGCAAUUGGAUCAUACCCAUCACUGACUACCGGUCCAGCAUACAGCUAUACUUGUGGAUAGGCCUAUGCACCAGUGGGAGGGUGAGGUUCUUUGCCUCACCUCUGUUGGACCCCAAAUUUGGCCUUUUCACCAGUGGGGGGGGGUGAGGUUCUUUGCCUCACCUCUGUUGGCCCCCAAAUUUUAGACCAUCACUAGCAGAAGGGAGGAGGAUACAGAAAUGCCAUGACACUAAGGCAAUUGAAGGCUCCUUUGAAAAACUGUACCACUGGUGACACCAUCAGCAAAGAUACUCCAGCAUUACCACAAUUCGCUGCACCAACAGAUAGUUCACAAUGUAUACAAGUGAUACAUAGUCCAGGCAAGUUCUGCAAGCAGUUCAAAGAGGAGAAAUCUAUCAAUAUGUCCAUUUCCUCCCAAAGUAAAUUGACUCCUUGAUUGAGCAUUACUUGUUGAGUUAUUAUUCAUUGAUGCAUCAGUUUAUACAGUUUACUGUGAUAGCUAUCGAAGAAGCUGUAGUUUGGUUUUAUCUUUGUCUUUACUGGCACUGGAAUGAAGAUAGGAAUUCUGGCAAUGAUGGCUAAAAAAAAUAUGUAACUUUCCAACAGGUACUAAAAAAAAAAACAAUUUUCUGAACAAUUUAUAUUAUCCUGAACAGAAUUAUUAAAUAUAAUGAAAAGGAAAGGUGAAAGUAAACAAACAGAUCUGUUAAUCUCCUUAUUUGUUCACAUUUAAAACAAUCCUCAACAGCUGUUUACCCAAUUUAAAUUAAAUCAUUUGAAUCACGUGAAUAAUAAAAAUAUUUGGAUACAUUUUUUCAUGAGCGCUCCUCAUAUAUGAUAUAUGGACAUACGCACAUACAGACAUGAAGUGUGCACACAUAACAUACAACACAUAAGACAAUAGUAAAGGCCUUGUAGCUUUACACAGGUGAAAUCUCCAUUACAAUGUUUAAAAACUCCACAGUCAAAAAAUAAAACUGAUCAGAAAAACAUUAACCUAGGUCUUAAUGAGCUCAAAAAAUAAAAUAGAACUUAUGAUGUGGGAAAAGGCAAUAAUAAAAUAGAUAUUGAAAUAGCCAUCCUGGUUACCACCUGGGUUUGACUCUUUUUUGGAUAUCCCAUCCUUUUUCCUGUAACUUACAUAAUGGGUCUGAAGGUAUUCCCACAAGCAAGCCCCAAGGUUUUUCACAUUUGAAAUAGGCUUUAAUGGUGUUCAUUAUUCAUUAGCCUCCAGGUGUGGGGGAACCACUGUUGCAGAUCAAGAAUAGCCAAGCUGGAGCUCUGUAUAUCAGCUGUUAUGGAUUUGAGUCAAAUCAUCUUCUUUUUGGUCUGUAGAAAUCGCUUUGGUUAGUCUCUCUGGAAUCCAAAUCAGCUGUUCU